Molecule: ribosomal RNA, 486 nt
Filed under: uncultured bacterium
Lineage: Bacteria
Description: partial 16S ribosomal RNA
Rfam family: Bacterial small subunit ribosomal RNA
Source: RNAcentral
GACGAACGCUGGCGGCGUGCUUAACACAUGCAAGUCGAACGAUGAAGCCGGAGCUUGCUCUGGUGAAUUAGUGGCGAACGGGUGAGUAACACGUGAGUAACCUGCCCUUGACUCUGGGAUAACUGCGGGAAACUGUAGCUAAUACCGGAUACGACCCUCGGAGGCAUCUCCUGGGGGUGGAAAGAAUUUCGGUCAAGGAUGGACUCGCGGCCUAUCAGCUAGUUGGUGAGGUAAAGGCUCACCAAGGCGACGACGGGUAGCCGGCCUGAGAGGGUGACCGGCCACACUGUGACUGAGACACGGCCCAGACUCCUACGGGAGGCAGCAGUGGGGAAUAUUGCGCAAUGGGCGAAAGCCUGACGCAGCAACGCCGCGUGCGGGAUGACGGCCUUCGGGUUGUAAACCGCUUUCAGCAGGGAAGAAGCCGCAAGGUGACGGUACCUGCAGAAGAAGCACCGGCUAACUACGUGCCAGCCGCCGCGGUAA